GACGAACGCUGGCGGCGUGCUUAACACAUGCAAGUCGAACGAAGAGCGAUGGAAGCUUGCUUCUAUCAAUCUUAGUGGCGAACGGGUGAGUAACGCGUAAUCAACCUGCCCUUCAGAGGGGGACAACAGUUGGAAACGACUGCUAAUACCGCAUACGAUCCAACCUCGGCAUCGAGGAUGGAUGAAAGGUGGCCUCUAUUUAUAAGCUAUCACUGAAGGAGGGGAUUGCGUCUGAUUAGCUAGUUGGAGGGGUAACGGCCCACCAAGGCAAUGAUCAGUAGCCGGUCUGAGAGGAUGAACGGCCACAUUGGGACUGAGACACGGCCCAGACUCCUACGGGAGGCAGCAGUGGGGAAUCUUCCGCAAUGGACGAAAGUCUGACGGAGCAACGCCGCGUGAGUGAUGACGGCCUUCGGGUUGUAAAGCUCUGUUAAUCGGGACGAAAGGUCCUCUUGCGAAUAGUUAGAGGAAU
RNAcentral lists this ribosomal RNA (472 nucleotides) under Veillonella sp. oral taxon 158. Its description in RNAcentral is "bacterial SSU rRNA". It matches the Rfam family "Bacterial small subunit ribosomal RNA", at positions 28 to 470 of the family's 1533-position model. Lineage: Bacteria; Bacillati; Bacillota; Negativicutes; Veillonellales; Veillonellaceae. The record is from RNAcentral.